RNAcentral lists this ribosomal RNA (326 nucleotides) under uncultured eukaryote. RNAcentral's name for it is "partial 18S ribosomal RNA". It matches the Rfam family "Eukaryotic small subunit ribosomal RNA", at positions 1470 to 1796 of the family's 1831-position model. The record is from RNAcentral.
CCCCUAGACGUUCUGGGCUGCACGCGCGCUACAAUAAUACGCACAGCGAGUAUCACCGAGCUCGAAAGGGCAAGGUAAACAAUAGAAAAGGUACUGUAAUGGUUAUAGAUCCUUGUAAUUAUUGAUCUUCAACGAGGAAUUCCUAGUAAGUAUGUGUCAUCAUCACGCACUGAUUACGUCCCUGCCCUUUGUACACACCGCCCGUCGCUCCUACCGAUUGAGUGGUCCGGUGAGGCUUUGGGAUCUGAGCGGAAAGAGCGUUUCGCUGUUUCUGCUCGGAAAACUCAGUCGAACCUUAUCAUUUAGAGGAAGGAGAAGUCGUAACA